This 224-nucleotide long non-coding RNA is filed under the name Elaeis guineensis (African oil palm). RNAcentral describes it as "long non-coding RNA (EGUI_LNC018338)". Lineage: Eukaryota; Viridiplantae; Streptophyta; Magnoliopsida; Arecales; Arecaceae. The record is from RNAcentral.
GUCUCAAUCCAUGUACAAUUAUAACACAAGAGAGCCAAUUUAAUCUAAAAAUCGUCUAUCUUAAUGUCCACAUGAUCCAUACCUCACAUGGUUUAGAUUAAUCUUGGAUUUUAAAAAGCUUGUAUAACUUCAUCUGAACUUUCAAGUGCAGAUGCAACAAGCACACAUCACAUAAAGAUUUCUCCAAUGAUUAAUUGGGAAAUAUGAGUACAAUUCCUUUUGCC